CAAAAAAAACAAAAAAAUAAUAAAACUAUACACCAAAAUUAUUUUACACUUAUUCCAAAAUCUGCCUUGAACGAAAUUGCGGUGAAAAUAAUUGGGAAAUUGGUAAGGAAGUUAUUGUCGGCUACAAAGGUAUUCAAGAUUCCCAGUGAGUUCAGAGCUCAGAGCUUGAGGGCAUCGUAGAAGACAUUCUAAGAGUAUCCAAGGUUGAGGGAUCACUCUCUCUCAAGGAGUAUUCAAGGGGAAAGAAGACAUCCCAGAUUCCAUCUCAAGAAUACCCAUAGUUCAGGUCCUUCCUCAAACAAUUCCUAAGAUUAAGAAGCCAAGAGUUCUGCAAACGAGAAAUUACUUUUGAAAGCCUUGGAUUCCGAGAUCCUCCAAUCCUCCAUCAAGGUUCCAAGACACAAGAAAUGGUGUCCAUGACAUCAAAUCAUGGAAAGGACUAUGGACGGAGAGUGAGACCACGCAAAGGAUACAAAGAGGAUACUAGAAGUCAAGCCUAAAACCUGGGAGGCGCAAAAGUACGAGAAUAUUGAAAUGUAGUCGAGAAGACUUCCUGUAACCAAAUUUUGCCUGCUUUACGCCGUAAAUAUUAUGUUUGUCAGCCUAUU
This 608-nucleotide small RNA is filed under the name Drosophila ananassae. RNAcentral's name for it is "GF28121". Lineage: Eukaryota; Metazoa; Arthropoda; Insecta; Diptera; Drosophilidae. The record is from RNAcentral.